This 328-nucleotide unclassified non-coding RNA is filed under the name soil metagenome. Its description in RNAcentral is "partial contains 5.8S ribosomal RNA, internal transcribed spacer 2, and large subunit ribosomal RNA". The stretch from base 1 to 120 matches the Rfam family "5.8S ribosomal RNA", at positions 35 to 154 of the family's 154-position model. The record is from RNAcentral.
GAUGAAGAACGCAGCGAAAUGCGAUAAGUAAUGUGAAUUGCAGAAUUCAGUGAAUCAUCGAAUCUUUGAACGCACAUUGCGCCCCCUGGUAUUCCGGGGGGCAUGCCUGUUCGAGCGUCAUUUCAACCCUCAAGCUCUGCUUGGUAUUGAGUCCAUGUCAGCAAUGGCAGGCUCCAAAAUCAGUGGCGGCGCCGCUGGGUCCUGAACGUAGUAAUAUCUCUCGUUACAGGUGCUCGGCGUGCUACUGCCAAAACCCCAAUUUUUCUAUGGUUGACCUCGGAUCAGGUAGGGAUACCCGCUGAACUUAAGCAUAUCAAUAAGCGGAGGA